RNAcentral lists this long non-coding RNA (427 nucleotides) under Cricetulus griseus (Chinese hamster). Its description in RNAcentral is "lncRNA (ENSCGRG00015031047.1)". Lineage: Eukaryota; Metazoa; Chordata; Mammalia; Rodentia; Cricetidae. The record is from RNAcentral.
GCCUUUUUGUUUUUUUCCCCCAAUUCCUUCGUGUUUUUCUUUGUCUUCCAGCCUAUCUAAAUUCAACUCCCACGGACAUACUUCACCCCGUCGCAGAAGAAUAAGGCCGAUCCUCACUGAUAGGCUCCAUCCCCUUGCACACGACCUCAGCCCGGGCAGCAGGUCGCAAGAAAGACACUGUCCUCACCCAGCACUCCCUCCGUGUCCCCGGUACCCGCAGUCACAAGAUGGAAGAAGCCUGGGCCGGGCUCACUCUGCGACCCACACUGCGUCUCCGUCCUCCAGCCCCUGCCACAGGCGGGGCCUCGGACCCAGGGCAGGAAGGGCCAGACCCAUCGCUCCUGGACUCCUCCAUCACCAAAGGGCAACGCAGCCUCCACCACCACCACCUCCCCAGCCCCGGGGGCAACAUGAUGUGGAACUUCAC